UACGAAGGGUGCUAGCGUUGUUCGGAAUCACUGGGCGUAAAGCGCGCGUAGGCGGCUAAUCAAGUCAGGGGUGAAAUCCCACAGCUCAACUGUGGAACUGCCUUUGAAACUGGUUAGCUAGAGUGUCGGAGGGGAUAGCGGAAUUGCUAAUGUAGAGGUGAAAUUCGUAGAUAUUAGCAGGAACACCGGUGGCGAAGGCGGCUAUCUGGACGACAACUGACGCUGAGGCGCGAAAGCGUGGGGAUCAAACAGG
RNAcentral lists this ribosomal RNA (253 nucleotides) under uncultured bacterium. Its description in RNAcentral is "partial 16S ribosomal RNA". It matches the Rfam family "Bacterial small subunit ribosomal RNA", at positions 524 to 776 of the family's 1533-position model. The record is from RNAcentral.